CCUUGAAGCAGCAAUUGCCCUUAAAACAUCAUCCCUGCCCUGGAUCGGCCUGGAGCCAGUGCCCAAGUACGGUUUGCUUCCAUGUUGGCCAUGGGUCAGGUGAAUGGAUGGAGCUCCAAGCGGGGCUCAGCCCAUUGACCCGAGCGAGGCGCACACACCUGCAGCGUGGAUCAAGCGCACUCUCUCCAGCAUCGCCCUGACCAUUCCAUGUGCUUUGUCCUAGCAUGUUCAUUCUUGACUUUCUCCACUUCAUUUUAUUAAAAAGUUAAAUGCUUUAGGAAUCUGUGGCGUGUGGCCACUGACCGCCCCCCACCUCCUGCCGCUCCUCCAAGUUUGAGCUGAGAUGGUUCUGUGAGUCCUUGGCAGGGGUCAAAGGGCACAUCUCCUUGAACCUAGAAAGCCCCCUACACUCUCAGAGGACACCUCUCCUGUGGAUUCAGCGCUGGGGCAGUGAAGGUGUCGGGAGCCAGCAGAGCAUGGUGCGUGCUGCCAGCUGCCGGCCAGCCGGGAUAGAGGAGAUGCCACUGGCCCUCCGUGCCCCCAGCCCCUCC
RNAcentral lists this long non-coding RNA (551 nucleotides) under Homo sapiens (human). RNAcentral's name for it is "non-protein coding lnc-HOMER3-3:1". Lineage: Eukaryota; Metazoa; Chordata; Mammalia; Primates; Hominidae. The record is from RNAcentral.